Hemicordylus capensis (graceful crag lizard) is the source of this 684-nucleotide long non-coding RNA. RefSeq lists it as uncharacterized. The transcript is spliced from 3 exons. The record is from RefSeq and is a predicted model, not a curated record. Lineage: Eukaryota; Metazoa; Chordata; Lepidosauria; Squamata; Cordylidae.
CUUCCGCUCCAGACUUAGUACAUCAGCCCACUUCGGAGGACUGGUCUAUCAGGUAGACCAGUCCUCCGAGGCAUGCAGCCAGAAACUUUAACACUAUCUUUGUUACACUUUUUAAGUUAGGUUUUUGUUCUUGUACUUGUGGUCUCCCUUGUUAACCUGUUGUACUAUAUUACACAUGUUGCGGGGCCUGUCAUCGAUUAUUCUGUCUUGGUGCCUCCUGUCUGGGAAAUGAUAUAAACAUUAAUGACAGCAAGAUCCAUGUAAUGGCUCCAGGCAAGAAUUCUCGUCGCCUGAAGUGAGCGCACAUCAAGAAAAUGCAGGCAACGUAGGCAAGAGAAGCGUCAGCGGCAGAUGAUUGAGUUGAGAAGAAGUAGCCGGUUAUCAGCAAGAAGGCAGCAGGAGACUGAAUUUGUGGCAGCUGCCAGGGGUGGUGAUUGGCUUCACCUGACUGUCGGCUAUAAAUUCUGCAGUUUGUGCCUUGAGCGGGCCUCUGGAGACAAUGCGUCUAAUCAGCCUGCAUGACUCUGGUCUGAAGGAUUGGGACUCUGGACUCUCAACCUCCGAAACUCUGCAAGAAGGUCUGGCUUAUUGGAGUCAAGGGGAAUUGUUGUGCAUGGACGAUUUGUUUCUGUAUUCUGGGACUGCUUGUUUGUCUGGACCAAUUGUUCUUCAGUAAAGCUGAAA